This 466-nucleotide ribosomal RNA is filed under the name uncultured bacterium. Its description in RNAcentral is "partial 16S ribosomal RNA". It matches the Rfam family "Bacterial small subunit ribosomal RNA", at positions 27 to 507 of the family's 1533-position model. The record is from RNAcentral.
GGACGAACGCUGGCGGCGUGCUUAACCCAUGCAAGUCGAACGGAAAGGCCCCUUUGGGGGUACUCGAGUGGCGAACGGGUGAGUAACACGUGAGUAACCUGCCCUUGACUUCGGGAUAACUUCAGGAAACUGGGGCUAAUACCGGAUAGGAAUCCUUGCUGCAUGGUGGGGGUUGGAAAGCUUCGGCGGUUUUGGAUGGACUCGCGGCUUAUCAGCUUGUUGGUGGGGUAGUGGCUUACCAAGGCUUUGACGGGUAGCCGGCCUGAGAGGGCGACCGGCCACAUUGGGACUGAGAUACGGCCCAGACUCCUACGGGAGGCAGCAGUGGGGAAUAUUGCACAAUGGGCGGAAGCCUGAUGCAGCAACGCCGCGUGCGGGAUGACGGCCUUCGGGUUGUAAACCGCUUUCAGCAGGGGCGAAGCUUGUGGUGACGGUACCUGCAGAAGAAGCACCGGCUAACUACGUG